CCUACGGGAGGCUGCAGUGAGGAAUAUUGGUCAAUGGACGAGAGUCUGAACCAGCCAAGUAGCGUGAAGGAUGACUGCCCUAUGGGUUGUAAACUUCUUUUAUAAAGGAAUAAAACGAGGCACGUGUGCCUUUUUGCAUGUACUUUAUGAAUAAGGAUCGGCUAACUCCGUGACAGCAGCCGCGGUAAUACGGAGGAUCAGAGCGUGAGCCGGAGUUAUGUGGUUUAAAGGGAGCGUAGAUGGGUUGUUAAGUCAGGUGUGAAAGUUUGCGGCUCAACCGGAAAAUUGCAAGUGAUACUGGCAGUCUUGAGUACAGUGGAGGUAGGCGGAAUGCGGGGUGUAGCGGUGAAAUGCUUAGAUAGCACGAAGAACCCCGAGUGCGAAGGCAGCUUACUAAACUGUGACUGACAUUGAUGCUCGAAAGUGUGGGUAUCAAACAGGAGUAGAUACCCCAGUAGGC
This 460-nucleotide ribosomal RNA is filed under the name uncultured bacterium. Its description in RNAcentral is "partial 16S ribosomal RNA". It matches the Rfam family "Bacterial small subunit ribosomal RNA", at positions 338 to 795 of the family's 1533-position model. The record is from RNAcentral.